This 528-nucleotide ribosomal RNA is filed under the name uncultured Bacilli bacterium. Its description in RNAcentral is "bacterial SSU rRNA". It matches the Rfam family "Bacterial small subunit ribosomal RNA", at positions 64 to 576 of the family's 1533-position model. Lineage: Bacteria; Bacillati; Bacillota; Bacilli. The record is from RNAcentral.
GAACGCUGAAGGAGGAGCUUGCUUCUCUGGAUGAGUUGCGAACGGGUGAGUAACGCGUAGGUAACCUGCCUGGUAGCGGGGGAUAACUAUUGGAAACGAUAGCUAAUACCGCAUAAGAGUAGAUGUUGCAUGACAUUUGCUUAAAAGGUGCAAUUGCAUCACUACCAGAUGGACCUGCGUUGUAUUAGCUAGUUGGUGGGGUAACGGCUCACCAAGGCGACGAUACAUAGCCGACCUGAGAGGGUGAUCGGCCACACUGGGACUGAGACACGGCCCAGACUCCUACGGGAGGCAGCAGUAGGGAAUCUUCGGCAAUGGACGGAAGUCUGACCGAGCAACGCCGCGUGAGUGAAGAAGGUUUUCGGAUCGUAAAGCUCUGUUGUAAGAGAAGAACGAGUGUGAGAGUGGAAAGUUCACACUGUGACGGUAUCUUACCAGAAAGGGACGGCUAACUACGUGCCAGCAGCCGCGGUAAUACGUAGGUCCCGAGCGUUGUCCGGAUUUAUUGGGCGUAAAGCGAGCGCAGGC